GGGUUUCGAAGGGGAUUUUGAAAAUUCGUGUUUUCUAUAAUUUAUGAAAACUGGUGAACUUAUCAUUCUUCAAACCUAAACUUGUGGAGUGGUAGAUCUUGAAAGUAGGCACUCUAUGAGUGGCAGGCUUUUUGGACAGUUGGCUGAUGAUUUUGAUGAAUGUUCUUCUACUUCUACUCGUGUUGCAGUUAAGAGGAUGGAUAUUGGAUCGAUGGAGUAUAGCUGGAGGUACAUGUUUCGACCAUGGUGUUUGUAUGCAAGAGCAACAAUU
This 271-nucleotide small RNA is filed under the name Vigna angularis var. angularis. Its description in RNAcentral is "Non-protein coding transcript". Lineage: Eukaryota; Viridiplantae; Streptophyta; Magnoliopsida; Fabales; Fabaceae. The record is from RNAcentral.